This 615-nucleotide unclassified non-coding RNA is filed under the name Hevea brasiliensis (rubber tree). The record is from RNAcentral. Lineage: Eukaryota; Viridiplantae; Streptophyta; Magnoliopsida; Malpighiales; Euphorbiaceae.
UAAAUUCUUCCAUAAAGAAUGAACCUCCAGCGCCCAUGCCCUCACCUCCGGAUUCUUCACCUUAUCCAAGAAUCCGUCGGGCUCCGGAAGAAAAUCGGGUGGGUCAAAGUACAGCACAUCCUCCCCUGCACCCUGAAAGUACAUUGCUAAGAACCCCUCCAAGUCCUUAAUCGAAACUGUCCCAUUUUCACUCCUUGGAAGCCCAUGAAAGGCCUUCUCAGUUGUUGAGAGACUGAAUUUUAAGGACAAAUCAACGUAAAGUUUUGGAUCCAAGUGUCUCUCUCCAAAAGUUGAAAGAGCAGUUUCUUGCACACGUUCAAGAAAGGUGAGCAAGGGUGUUGUGGGAACUACAGGGUCUAUGUCCUUGCAUCUGGUCAAAGAUUUUGACAGGGCCAUGGUUGGCAGCAGGGAAAAUAAAAAGAAAAGCAAUAGAAAAAUGUGAUCAAGAUUUUGUGCCAUUCUUGAAAUGGAGUGACUGUGAAGGUUUGGUUAGAGAAGGAGCCAUGAUUGGUAUUGGAUAUAUGAUGAUGGAGAGGAAUUUCAAGAAGCAGCCGGCAGUUGGAAUUUUAUGGGCUUUGGCUGGAUUUUUUUCUUGUUAUUUUCUUGAAUGAAAAG